CCCCCCCGCGCUCCCCGCCCCCCCAGCCUUAGUGAGAUUGACAGUCGCGUGGAGGAGGCUUUUCCAGGCACAGCCUUUCUCAUGGUAAUCAGCCCCCAGCAUCACCUCCCGGCAGCGGCUGCGCCCGCUCGGAGCGCGGCUCGCGGACCCCGGGGACCGGAAACAGGGCGGCGGGCGGGGAGCAGGCGAGCGAGCCAGAAAAGAAAAAGAAAAAAAUGUCAUUAGAAGAGGCGUAACACGUCAGUCCGUCCCCAGGUUUGUGUUUCCUGGAGUGGCCGAAAGAGAUCAGUUCUAACCUGCUCUGCAGGAAUAACGGUCCUGCCUCCCGACACUCUUGGCGAGGUUUUUGUACAGUUUGCUCCGGGAGCUGUUUCUUCGCUUCCACCUUUUUCUCCCCCACACUUCGCGGCUUCUUCAUGCUUUUUCUUCUCACCAUUUCUGGCCAAAACUACAAACAAGACUUCGCAGAUCGAGCCUGCGUGCUGCCGAAGCAGGGCGCCGAGUCCAUGCGAACUGCCAUCUGAUCCGCUCUUAUCA
RNAcentral lists this small RNA (537 nucleotides) under Pan troglodytes (chimpanzee). Its description in RNAcentral is "processed transcript". Lineage: Eukaryota; Metazoa; Chordata; Mammalia; Primates; Hominidae. The record is from RNAcentral.